Molecule: ribosomal RNA, 1316 nt
Filed under: uncultured organism
Description: 16S ribosomal RNA
Rfam family: Bacterial small subunit ribosomal RNA
Source: RNAcentral
AGUGGCGAAAGGGUGAGGAAUAGAUAGGAACGUGCCUUUGGCUUCGGAAUAGCGUCCCGAAAGGGGCGGUAAUACCGGAUAACGUCUACGGACCAAAGAUUUAUCGGCCUUAGAGCGGCCUAUCUCCUAUCAGCUUGUUGGUGGGGUAAUGGCCUACCAAGGCAACGACGGGUAGCGGGACUGAGAGGUUGGCCCGCCACAUCGGGACUGAGACACUGCCCGGACCUCCACGGAGGGCUGCAGUAACGAAUAUUGGGCAAUGGGCGAAAGCCUGACCCAGCAAUGCCGCGUGUAGGAUGAAGCCCCUCGGGGUGUAAACUACUGUCAGGGGUUAGAAAGCUACGGUUGAUCAACCCCAGAGGAAGUCACGGCUAACUUCGUGCCAGCAGACGCGGUAAUACGAAGGUGGCGAGCGUUAUUCGGAAUUACUGGGCUUAGAGCGCACGCAGGCGGAAUAUUUAGCGUCUUGUGGAAUCCACCGGCUUAACCGGGGAAUUGCAAGGCGAACUGGUAUUCUUGAGGCAAGUAGGGGUGCAUGGAACUCUAGGUGGAGCGGUGGAAUGCGUAGAUCUCAAGAGGAACGCCGAUGGUGAAGACAGUGCACUGGGCUUGUCCUGACGCUGAGGUGCGAAAGCGUGGGGGAGCGAACGGGAUUUAGAUACCCCGGUAGGUCCACGCCGUAAACGAUGCCUACUAGGUCGUGGUUGUUCUGACACACUCACGGCCGAAGCAAAAGUGUUUAGUAGGCCGCCUGGGGAGUUCGGUCGCAAGGCUAAAACUCAAAGGAAUUGACGGGGGCUCACACAAGCGGUGGAGCAUGUGGAUUAAUUCGAAGCAACGCGCAGAACCUUACCUGGGUUUGACAUGUAUGGAUGCCUGCUGUGAAAACAGUUAGGUUGCCUUCGGGUGAAACUUACACAGGUGCUGCAUGGCUGUCGUCAGCUCGUGUCGUGAGAUGUCGGGUUAAGUCCUUUAACGAGCGAAACCCUUGCCGUUAGUUGCCAGCGGGUCAUGCCGGGGACUCUAACGGGACUGCCGGUGUCAAACCGGAGGAAGGUGGGGAUGACGUCAAGUCCUCAUGGCCUUUAUGCCCAGGGCCUCACACGUGCUACAAUGGGUGCUACAGAGCGACGCGAGACCGCGAGGUGGAGCUAAUCGCAAAAAAGCAUCCUCAGUUCGGAUUGCAGGCUGGCAAUUCGCCUGCAUGAAGUUGGAAUCGCUAGUAAUCGCGUAUCAGCUAUGACGCGGUGAAUGUGUUCCUGAGCCUUGUACACACCGCCCGUCAAGUGAUGGAAGCCGGGAGUACCCGAAGUCGG